Molecule: long non-coding RNA, 27119 nt
Filed under: Homo sapiens (human)
Lineage: Eukaryota; Metazoa; Chordata; Mammalia; Primates; Hominidae
Description: non-protein coding PSMA3-AS1:41
Source: RNAcentral
AGUUAAAUGUUUUAUAGACAAAACCACUAAAACCAGUGCAUUCAUUAUCAGCAUAUUCAUUAUCGUCAUCCUCUUCAUCUUCCUCCUCAUCCUCUUCCUCAUCCUCUUCAUCUUUCUCAUUCUUCCUUUUCUUGCUUUUUUCAGCCUUGACAUCUCCCUUUUUCGCUGCAUCAGGCUUUCCUUUAGCUCGAUAUACAGCAGUAUCCUUUCUGUAUUUUUCCUUCAGCUUUGCAGCCUUCUUUUCAUAAGGCCAUUUGUCAUCUGCAGCACUGUUAGUCCGCAUCUCUCCCAGUUUCUUUGCAACAUCACCAGUAGAUUAAAAUGAAAUCACUUUUUUAAAAAAAGAUUGUAUCUCUAAAUAACCACCAGAGAAUGGUUUUUCUGCUUGUUGUUACCUCAUUUUUCACAGAUCUUCCUAAUAAUUAUCAGUGGUACAAAUGUGGGAAAAGUUCAUCCAGGGCUAAGGGUUCGUCACCUGCCAGUAGUGGGAUAGAUAAGCCACGUGGCUCAAUAAAUUAUUGAACCCAUAGUGUCACCCUCCAAGUAUUUUUCUUUUUUAAUCACAAUACCAUAAUGCCUUUAGGUGUGAAACUGGGUAUAGCCUAAGAAUAGGAACUGGAUGAGAUAUUUCAUGAGGACACUUGAUCCUUGCUUGCUGUGAUAUUGCUAAGGGUGUGGCAUCAUGAUUUGGACAAAAUGAGAAUGGCAGGAAUUGGGGAGAUAAAAUAUCAGGCUCAUAGGCCUUCAUGGAGUUAAAGCAGUAUUGUGUGUGCUUAGCUCCAGAAUUCUCAGAAUUUUUACAAUAAUUCAACAGGACGUUGGAUUGAAUAAGCACUUUAAUACUGAAACACUGGAUUUGAAAACUGGAUGUUAUGUGUUCUACUCAUAAGCCUAUUACUCAUUGGCUGUGACCUGGGAUACAUCACUGCUUUUGCUUUUAGAGAAUGAGGGUCAUUGGGCUAGGUAUUUACAGCUCUUAAUAUUUUAGGGUUGCAGUCUAGCACCGUAUUUUUAAAACAAGAAUUCUAAGCUUCUAAUAUCCACCUGUUCUUUGCAAGGUUAACUUUUUUUUAACAAACUCUGAGAAUCAGAAGUCUUAGACAUUUACUUGAUAAUUUUAGCAUUUGAGGAAUUGGCUGAUGUUCCUAGAAUCAAAUUCUGACAGAAACUUUAAUGCCCCCUCUAUCUCACUGUUUUAUUUAACAAGAGUUCUGAUUGCUUUCAUUGGUUGGUAAAACAGAUAUUUCAAGUAAUAGCCACACUGAUUAAUUUCAUUAUGGUGACAUUUCAUUAAUGUCAUUAUGGUGACAUUUCAGUUUUAUGUAUGUCUAUACUGCCCACACACAAAAGUACUACCGUGUGAUUCAAUAUUUUCUUCUGUAGUUCAUUUGUAUAAAAAAUCAGAUGGGCUGGGUGCGGUGGCUCACGCCUGUAAUCCCAGCAUUUUGGGAGGCCAAGACGGGUGGAUCAUAAGGUCAGAAGUUUGAGACCAACCUGGCCAAUAUGGUGAAACUCUGUCUCUACUAAAAAUACAAAAGUUAGCCAGGCGUGGUGGCGCGCAUGUGUAGUCCCAGCCACUUGGGAGGCUGAGGCAGAAGAGUCGCUUGAACCCAGGAUGUGGAGGUUGCAGUGAGCCGAGAUCAUGCCACUGCACUCCAGCCUGGGUACAGAGCAAGAUGCCAUCUCAGAAAAAAAAAAAAAGUCUGAUGUGAUCCACAGAAGUGGUUUCAUGACUUAACUGUAGGUCUGUCUCAACCUUCUUUGGACAGGGUGAGGAAUCAACUAGAUAACGUUUUAAAUUUGGUACUUUAACAUUUGCUGGGCACUUAGAUAUACUACUACACUUAUGUGUAAUAGCUUAGACGUUAGAUACAAAUUAAUCAUUACCUGAAAAAUUCCUAACAGCAGUGGGUUGAGUGGGAAAAAAGGCAUGGAGGAUGAAAUCAUGUUCUUUUUUUUUUUUUCUUUUUGUUGGCGUGUUUGAUAGGUUUAAUAUGUUACUGAGUCUGCCAGUUCAAAUAGCCCACUUAGGGAUCUUAGGGAUUUGUAUUUAUUUACAUUUAGGGUUACCUCAAAUCCUAUGGCAAGCAAAAAAAUAAAAAUAAAUCCCCAAUUAUUUCCCUCAAAUCAAACCAGAAUUCCUACUGUUUCUCAAAAAAUCUUAGUUUCUUAGUCUAUAUAUGCAAUCAUAAAGCUUCUUCCAGUGUUUGUAUAAUUUUGGUGGCCUAGAUCUUGGUCAGAUGGGACAGGGAGGGGAAUUUUUGUAUGAAGGAACAUAACCAAAAAAAAAAAAAAAAAAGCACCACCUUCUUGUUUCUUAUUCCUCUGUGUAUCAUGUGAUACUGCUUUUAAGGCCUUAGAAUUGCCGAGGCCAUGGUAACCCAAGGCAGACUUGCUGUUUUCCUCUCAGAUUUGAAGUUCUGCAUUUUAUUAGUCACGAAGAACUAGUCUGUUACCAGUAAAUACUUAAGACACAAAACUUGCUUCUCUGUGCUGCUGUGUACUUCCUGUUUUGUCAGAUUUCCAUUUAGGGAAAAGAAUGGAUUUUAUGCUAGGCUAGCUUCUCCUGAAAUUCAGUUUGGAAGCCGUCCAGAUAUCUAGGGCGGGUGGUGGGGGAGAAUGGCAUGUCUUGUCUAUAUAUGAUGUCAUUUGUCAGAAAGAUUCAUUUGGCUGCUUAUCAUGAAAGAGAGGGUUGCCAGGAAGGAAGAGAAACCUUUUGCUGUCAGAACUAUUUAGUGUAUGACUUGCCUACUUUGUGGCUUGCCUUUAGGCUUUCCAUGUCAAAUGUGUUUGAGGUUGUGAAUGAAUUAUUAUAUUGCCUAUGAAGGAAGGAUCUAUGUUCAUUUCUAGUAGGUUUUUAUUCCAGAAAUAUGUAAGAACUGUAUUUAGACACAUUUGCUUCACUUAUAGAAGAGACAGGUCAAAGGUUAGAUGGUAAUUAGAACUGGGCUACAUUUUAAAUGUUGAAAAUGUUUUGGGGGGAAGUUGCAGUAAAACCAUUUUAAAAAUCUUUUGCAGCUAAAAUAGUAAAUAGAACACCUAGUUAUAAAUGAUGAAUUUUCUGUCAGUUUUUAUCCUAUGAAAUGAAAUUCCAAUUAGUUGUUAAUAGAAUGUGUGAGUAGAAUAUGCUUUCAGUGUAAUCCUGAAUCCUACUAAUACUGCUGGUAACGGAAUAUUGUUUUGCAAUGGUGGAACCAAAGCUCGUCUAUAAAAUUCUCUUUGACCAAAUUGACCUGGUCUGCAUUAAGUCAGAGCUAAUUUUCUCUUUUUUGACCUGUCAGUAAAAUAUGAAAGAUGCUUUUCAAUCCCUGACCAUUAGUGAACAGUUACAGAAUUUCUUCUUUAUUGGCACCCUGGCUCUUCGUUCACUCACAUGUUGGAAAUGUUCUCUUAACAUCUGUAUGUUGUCUUCCUUGGGAGCUGAUGUUGAAUUCUAAAAUAUUUGGAACCAUCCCUAUAAAUUUUCUGCCAGAUUCUUCCCUCCCCUUCCCCCCACCCCCCACUCUUUUUUUCAUCUAGGUGUAUGUAUGCUGCUAUUUCCGAGACAUACAUUCCUUACACAAUCAUGAAAAAAAGUUUUCCUAGACACCCAUCAUCCCUUACUGCUUCAUCCCCCAUUUUGCUUUCUAAAUGUCAUCUCUUCCUUUUUUUUUUUUGAGUUGGAGUCUUGCUCUGUUGCACAGGCUGGAGUGCAGUGGCGUGGUCUCGGCUCACUGCAUCCUCCGCUUCCCAGGUUCAAGUGAUUCUCCUGCCUCAGCCUCCUGAGUAGCUGGGAUUACAGGCGCCUGCCAUCACGCCUGGCUAAUUUUUAUAUUUUUAGUAGAGACGGGGUUUCAUCAUGUUGGCCAGGCUGGUCUUGAACUCCUGACCUCAGGUGACCAACCCAUCUUGGCCUUCCAAAGUGCUGGGAUUACAGGCGUGAGCCAUCACACCCUGCCCUAAGUGUCAUCACUUUAAAAGUAACCUUUUCUCUUACCCUAUUCUCCUUUUAGUAACCUGUUUCCAAAUCAGUGAUUCUCAAAUUUUAGAGUGUUAAUAAGAAUUACCUCAGAUACUUAUUGAAAAUACAGAUUCCUGGGUCCCUCUUCCUACCUAGUGAGUUCAAAUCUGUAGAAUUCUGACUUAGGUGAUCUUCGAACCACACUUUGAGAAAGUUGUCUGUUGCAUGCAUUCCCACUAUCAUGUAAAUUCUGUCCUUCAUAUUUUUACAUAAUCUACUUUGUUUUAAUUACUGGAAUCUCAGAAGUUUUUUACUCAUAAUUAUUGAUAAGCUUUUUCUCCUGAAUUCACUCAUUGGAGGGGUCUUCCACUAGGUGUCCAGGAAAUGUUCCCAAAUUCCCUUCCAUAUUUGUCAGAAUUUAUGUUCUCUCCUCCCCAAAGCACAUGUUUAUAGUUCAGUGUAGACAUACAAGUAUAUGUAUACACAUCUCUUUUUUACUUUUUUUUUGAGGCAGGGUCUCACUCUGUUACCUACACUGGAGUGCAGCAGCACCAUCUUGGCUCACUGCAACCUCUGCCUCCCAAGGUCAAGCAAUUCAACUGCCUCAGCCUCCCAAGUAGCUGGGACUACAGGCGCCUGCCACCAUGCCCGGCUAAUUUUUAUAUUUUUAGCAGAGAUGGGGUUUCACUCUGUUGGCCAGGCUGGUCUCAAACUGCUGACCACAAGUGAUCUGCCCACGUCGGCCUCCCAAAGUGUUGGGAUUACAGGCGGUAGCCACUGUGCCCAGCUUGUAUACACGUUUAAUAGACCUUGCCAGUGAUUUUUAGUAUCUGCUUUUCUCACUGGGGAAAGAACUAUAUCUGAACUUUUUAAAUUUUAGUCUUCCUUGGUGAUGUGAUACAUCGUAGGCAUCCAAAUGUUUGCCUUGAAUUUUUACUGCUAUCACUUGGUUGCUACUGACACCCAAACCAAUCAGACCUACUAAAUAUCAUAUAUUAUUAUCUUUAUACCUGUAAUUUUCCUAUACCAUUUCCUUUUCUCUAAAUUAUCAGAAUUUUCUUCGGUGCUAUCUUAAGAAUAAUUCCCUUAUAUUAUAUUAAUCUUGAAUCCCAUUGACUUUUCCUGAAAAAAAAUUAACUCCCAUUUCCACAUGGAUCUUAAUAGUUCAACUCUUUAUUUACAUGAAUUUUUCUCAAAACUUUGUGAUUCCAUGUAGUAGAAAUGAAAUAUAAGUCCAAAUGAUACACUUCAAAGACAAACCCAAGAUACAUGAGUAAGGAAUCCUGCUCAUCAACUAUCUUUAUAUGUUAAUCACAUUAUACUAGUAUUUAUUUCAAAGAGAUAUAUGGACUGGAAGGAUACACUUUAUAAUAGAGUACCUCUUGAAGGGGUUGAGUGGUCAAAGAAGGAAUAUUACUUUUAUUUGUAAUGUUUUAAUAUUUAUAUGAGGGACAAUAAAUACAUAGGUACAUAUGAACAUACCACAUAAUUUAAGUACCUACAUUGCAAAAACAAUGGAGGCUGGGCAGUGGCUCACACCCAUAAUCGCAACACUUUGGGAGGCCGAGGUGGGAGGAUCACUUGUCAUGACUUGAGACCAGCCUGGACAAUAUAGAUACAGCGUGUUUCUUCAAAAAUUUUAAAAAAUUAGCCAGGCGUGGUGGUACAUGCCUGUGAUUCGAGCUACUCGGGAGGCUGAGGUGGGAGGAUAGUUUAAGCACGGAAGAUUGAGGCUGCAGUGAUCUUUGAUCCUGCCAUUGUACUCCAGCCUGGCAACAGAGUGAGACCCUGUCUCCGGAAAAAAAAAAAAAACACCAUGGAAGCAAGCAAAAAAAAAAAAAUUCCUAAAAUAGUUAUUCCAGGUUGUGGGAAUAUGGAUGGCUUUCUUCUUUGCCCUCUUUGUUAUUUUCUUUGUUAUUGUUGUUCAGAUGGAGUCUCAUUCUGUCGCCCAGGCUGGAGUGCAGUGGCACGAUCUUGCCUCACUGCAAGCUCCACUUAGAUUGAAGCAGUUCUCCUGUCUCGGCCUCCUGAGUAGCUGGGAUUACAGGUACCUGCCUCCACACCCGGCUGAUUUUUGUAUUUUUAGUAGAGACGGGGUUUCACCUUGUCGGUCAGGUUGGUGUCUAACUCUUGACCUCGUGAUCUACCUAGCUCAGCCUCCCAAAGUGCUGGCAUUGCAGGCGUGAGCCGCCACGCCUGGCCUUGUUAUCUUUUUUUUUUUUUUUUUUAAACUUUAUACAGGCAAGGUCUCGCUAUGUUGUCCAGGCUGGAGUGUAGUGGCUAUUCACAGGCACUUUCACAGCACAAUGCAGCACUGCUCAAGCAAUCCUCUCACCUCAGCCUCAUGAGUAGCUGGGACCAUAGUUGGACACCACUACACUGAGGUCUUUUGGUUUUUUUUUCUUACUUUUUUUUUUGGUGGUGGUGGUUUAGUUUAAGCAGCAACAUGCGAAAAGGUAUCUUUAAAAUUCACCCCAGUUUAAAGGAGGGUAAGAUAUAAUUUAGUGGUUUUAUAAGGAAACGGCUUCUCAGAAUAUUUUGUAAAGGGCAAGAAUCACGUUUUCUAUUUCAUGUGUCCUUUAACAGUUCUAAUAAGCAAUUAAUGUUUAUUAUGAUUGAGGUAUGCUGGGUGCAGUGGCUCAUGCCUGUAAUCCCAGCACUUUGGGAGGCCUAGGUGGGUGGAUCACCUGCAGUCAGGAGUUCGAAACCAGCCUGACCAACAUGGUGAAAUCCCGUCUCUACUAAAAAUACAAAAUUAGCCAAGUGUGGCGGUGUGUGCCUGCAAUCCCAGCUGCUUUGGAAGCUGAGGCAGGAGAUUGCUGGAACCCGGGAGGCAGAGGUUGCAGUGAGCUGAGAUUGUGUCAUUGCACUCCAGCCUGGGCAACAACAGUGAAACUCGGUCUCAAAAAAAAAAAAAAAAGAAAAAAAAAAAGACCAGGCGCGGUGGCUCCCUAGCACUUCGGGAGGUCGAGGCGGGCGGAUCACAAGGUCAGAGUUUGAGACUAGCCUAGCCAACAUGAUGAAACCCCGUCUCUAGUAAAAAUAGAAAAAUUAGCGCCCGUAAUCCCAGCUACUCGGGAGACUGAGGCAGAAGAAUCUCUUGAACCCAGGAGGACGAAGUUGCAGUAAGCCAAGAUCGUGCCACUGCACUCCAGCCUGGGCAAGAAGAGCAAAAUUCUGUCUGGGGGGCAGGGGGAAGAGGUAUAUUUUUUGGAUUAAAAUGGAAUGCUUUCCUCAAACUGUUAAAAUUAGGUAGUGUUACAAGUUUAAAGAAUAGGUUUAGCCAGUGUGAUUAUUGCAGUGUAAUAAAAAGGAUCCCAGGUGGCACACAUGCUAGUGUGGUGCCCAGAUGCUCAACUGAAGUGAAGGAUAACAUGCGUUUCAACAUUUUCUAUAUACUAGGCAGUUUUUCUUAAGUCUUGGUUUAUUGUGAUAUAAUACAGUAAAAUUUACUCUUUAUACGUAUGAUUCCAUUAAUAUUAACAAAUUUAAACAGUCUUACAGCUAAAUACAAUCAAGAUACAGAACAUUUCCAUCACUACAGGAAGUUGUUUUUUGCUAAUUUAACUAAACUUCUUACCAUGCUCAACCCCCCACCCCCACCCUGAGAACCACUGCUUUGUUUUUCUGAUCAUAUAGUUUGGCCUUUUCAAAAAUGUCAUACAGUUGGAAUCAUAUAGUAUGCAUGAAUCAUGUAGCUGAAGUUUUCAUUUCACUUAGGUAAACACCUAGGAAUAGGAGUGCUGGGUUAUACUCUAAGUGUUAAACUUCAUAAGAAGCUGCUAAACUGUUUUCCAAAGCAUCUGUACCAUUUUCCUUUCCCACCAGCAAUAAAGCAUUCAUUAGUCUACGUACUCACCAGUGCUAGUGUGGUCAGAAUGUAUAGUUUUAAUUAUACACAUUAUAAUAGAUGUAGAGUGGUAUCUCAUCGUGAUUUUGCCUUUUCCUAAUGAAUAUCUUUCCUUACAUAUUUGUCAUUAGUGUGUCUUCUUUAGUAAAUGGUCCUAUUGUUUUGCCCAUUUUUAAAAGUUGAGUUUUCAUAUUGUUCAAUUUCGAGAGUUCUUCAUAUAUUCUGGACACAAGUCCUUUGUCAGACAUGUGAUUUGCAAAUAUUUUCCCCCAGAGUUUUUCCUGUCUUGUCAGUCCCUUAAUAGUGUUUUUAGGAAGGAGAACAGCUGCUUUUAAUUUUGAUAAAGCUUGUCAAUUGUUUUUCUUUUAUGGAUCAUGCUUUUGGUGUAGUAUCUGAGAACUCUUUCUUAAACCAGUCACACAUGUCUUCUGUUUUCUUUGAAGCUUUACAGGUUGAGGUACAUUUUGGUCCAUGAUCACUUUUGAGCUACUUUUUAUAUAUAGGUAGUAUAAGAUAUGGUUUGAGGUUUUUGUUUGGGGUUUUUUUUCUUCCUGCAUAUGAAUGUUCAGUUGUUCCAGCACCAUUUGUUGAAAAAACACUAUCCUUUCUCUAGUAAUUUGCUUUUUUACUUUUGUCAGUUGACUAUUUGUGGGUCUGUUUUUAAACUCCAUUUUAUAUUAUGUCUACAUUAUGAACUUUAUAGUUAGUCUUGAAAUUAGGUAAUGUGGGUCUUCUCACUUGUGCUUUUCAAAAUUGUUUUGGCUCUUCUAAUUCUUUCACUUUUUCCAUAUAAAUUUUAGAAACAGCUUAUUGAUUUCUACCACUUUCCCCCAAAAAGCCACUUGGGAAUUUGACUAAGUUUACAUCGAAUCUAAUAAAUGAUUUUGGAGAGAAGUGGUAUCUUAGCAAUACAGUCUUUUCUGAUAACACUUCCUGUUUUAGUUCUUUUUCUCAUUUAAUAAUUUUCCAACAUUAAAACCUUGGACAAAUUUAGAUGUGUAUCUGAAUAAUUCCAGUUUUGUUGCCAUUUAAAAUGGUACAUAAUCCUUAUUUUAUAGAUGAGAAAAUUAAGUAACUUGCCCAAGUCACACAGUUACUAAAUGACAAAGCUAGAUUGAAAUCUAUGAGCUUAUAAACUAAUGUCCUGUUUUGAGCUACAGUACUAGUUUUAUUAAAUUGUUGUGGUUAAACUGGGGUAGAGAGGAAGUCCUAACUUCUUUUAAGAAAAAAAAAAUCCCACUACUGUAGUUCAUAAAAUAAUUGGUCCCCCCACACUUAUGUAUUUUCAAAGAUUCAGUUUUCCAGAUCUGUUCAGGUGAUAAACCAUGCUUUUUUUUUUUUUUCUUCUUUCUCUUUGAGACAGAAUCUUGCUCUGUCACCCAAGCCGGAGUGUAGUGGUGCCAUCAUAGCUCACUACAGCCCUGAACUCCUGGGCUCAAGAUAUCCUCCCACCUCAGCCUCUUGAGUAGCUGGGACUACAGGCGCAUGCCAUCAUGCCUGGCUGACUUUCUUAUUUUUUGUAGAGAAAAGGUCUCUCACUACGUUGCUUAGGCUGGUCUUGAACUCCUGGGUUCAAGCGAUCCUCCUGCCUCAGCUUCCCAAAGUGUUGAGAUUACAGGUGUGAGCCACCACACCCAGCCUCCAUGUUCAUCUUAGUUUAGAAGCCUUCGAUUGACACAUUUCUGAAUCAGUGAUUUUCAAAUAGUAUACCUUAUCCAGCAGUUAGUAUGAUUUCAAUGUGUGUACCUUUAGCAUGUGAAUAGUUAUUUGUGCUCACCAGUUGAAAUACAAGGAAAGGAUUUUUUUUUUUUUUAAACAACUCUCAGUCUUGUGCGGGGGGGAGUGGGGGAGGUGGUGGUAUAUACUUUAUUAUAGUUCAGCCAUAAUAGAUACAUAUGGUCAGUGGGAACAACAAAAAAAAGCUAUACUUGGUUGGGGUUACAAUAGUUGCAUUUCAUGUUUUGAAGUUCCUUUGAUAGGUGGAUAUUUUUACAAACUGAGAAUAUUUGUAGUCUUAAUUUGCUACUUUUCCUGUGAAAUGAAGAAUAUUCUGAUGUUGAGACCUGUUAAACAUUGGUAACCUAGAAGUUGACUUUCUUAUUUUUUAGGUCUCUAUGAAUAAAGAAAAGCAAAUAGAAUCUUAUCAGAUAAGUGCUUUUAUAAGUCUAAAUAUAUUCUUUGGAAUCUCUAAAGCAAAACUUUUAAACUUUUUUUUUUUUUUUUUUUUUUUUAGGUACCAGCAUCAAGAUGAUUUAUGGUAAUAAGGUACUCAGUCUUUGCUUAAAAUAAAUUUUACGUUUAUCAAAGUAAAAUUUACCAGCUUUUUUUCCUAAAGAGGCUAGUCAUAUCUCAUCAGUGGUUACAAAGUAUCCUUACAAUUGAACCUACAUUUGUUAAUCCUGUUCAGUGUGUAUGAAAAUCACUUGGUGGCCGGGCAUGGUGGCUCACGCCUGUAAUCCCAGCACUUUGGGAGGCCAAGGCGGGCAGAUCACAAGGUCAGGAGUUCGAGACCAGCCUGGCUAAUAUAGUGAAACCCCAUUUCUACUAAAAAUGCAAACAUUAGUCAGGCAUGGUGGCAGGUGCCUGUAGUCCCAGCUACUUGGGAGGCUGAGGCAGGAGACUCUCUUCAACCCGUGAGGCAGAGGUUGCAGUGAGUCGAGAUCAUGUCACUGCACUUCAGCUUAAGCAACAGAGCGAGACUCCAUCUCAAAAAAAGAAAAGCACGUCACUCGAUGUUCUUUCUUUCAUAAGAGUUGAAGAACUAGGUAUAUCUGCUUAUAUUAUGGCAUCUAUAGUAGCUUAGCUGCUCAUAUUUGGGUCUCUUUAGAACCAGUGUCUUUCAAAGAGGGUUUUAACUAUGCUGGUGUAAAUUUUAAGAAUAGAUACAUUCAAAGAAGAAUUCAACAUUCAUGUGACAUUCAUACUUUGGAACUUUGGGAAAGUAUAGGAAUGACCAUAGAUUGGCUUAGGGAUAGUCAAUUUACCUGUCUGUAAAUGGAUCCAAUUUAGUAUUGUUCCUGUAUUUUUCUAAGACCAACACUUGUGUCAUUCACAGUUAAAUAUAUGAGUUGUGGCCAGGCCCGGUGGCUCAUGCCUGUAAUUUCAGCAUUUUAGGAGGCUGAGGUGAACAGAUUGCUCAAGUCCAGGAGUUCAAGACCAGCCUGGGCAACAUAGUGAGAUGCGGUCUCUACAAAAAAUUUUUAAAAGUUAGCCAAGCAUGGUGGUGCUUGCCUGUGGUCCCAGCUACUUGGGAGGCUGAGGUGGGAGGAUUGCUUGAGCCAUAUGCUCUAAUAUAUUUUAAAAUACAUAUUUUAAAUAUAUUUUGAGUGGUAAAAUGUAGCAGAUAAUGUUACAUAAAAGAAGCCAUGGUAAUGACAUGACAUUACUGGUUUUGAGUUGUUUGUGUAGUAGUUAGCUAUUAAUACUCAGGUAUAAUGAUUUGCUAUUUAAACUACACAAAUGCUCAAAGUCCAGCGAUACCCUGCACCCAAAUUCAGUGGCUAGAUUACCUUCUUAGGAAAGCACAACACUUCAAUGGAGUGACACUGGCAUGAGUCCACUAGAGGGUGUGUAUACAUGGCCUGAGUUCAAAUUGUUCCUGCUGUGAGUACUGCUUUUCAGCUUCAAGUUAUUCUUAUCGGCCACAGUACUGUUUAUUCCACUUAGUAACAGUUCUGUUUACAGAGCACUUUAACAUAAAUUCUGAUUUUUAACAUGAAAGCUGUCUGAUGUUGGUAUUUUUAUUUUAAUCUUUAGAGAUCAAGAAAUUUUUUUAGUGACAGAAUAGGGACUUUAUUGAUCCUUAAAUCCGCCCCUCACCACAAUAAAGGAAAAAAGCAAAAACAUCCUUGACUCAUGUAUUGAAGGGUCUUUUUUGAGAAGGGUCAGUUUUUGAAAAAUUAUCCAAAACUGAAACAUCUGUCAUCUGUAUCACAUCUAAAGAUUAACAGUGACUGAUGACCACCAGUUACUUCAUAUGAAAGUGGGAAACCGUAUCAGUUAUUUGUCCACUAAGUUGGUAGGUGCUUUUUGUACAAAAGCCCAGGAGAAUAUGAUCUGUAAAUUCUAGUUGAGUGAUGAAGAUGGGGCUUUGAAUUAAUCUACAGUCUUGGAAUUAAUUCUGCAGCAUUUUAACCAGGGAAUUUUUCAGUAGUCAUAAAUCUAUAUUUUAAUACUGAGUAAAUGUCCUCAUUUACCCCCACCAAUUUUGUAAAGCAGAUAUUAACCAAACUUCAAUAGUUAUAAGACAAAAAUUUAAUGAAAAUUGGACAGUAUGUAUAAUCCAGGGCUAAAUAGUUACAUUGGACUGGAGUAGAAAUUUAAAAUACAAUAGAUGCUGGAGUAAAUGUUACAUAUUAUCAUCAUCUGAUUCAUCUUCUUCCUUCAGAGAUUCCUGUUAAGAGAAAACAGGUGUUUAAAAUUGAUUUUUAAAAUUGUUAUAUCCCACACCUGUGGGCAAGUUAAGCUACAACAACCUGAAUUAAGUGGUUAAAUUCCUCUACUUGUAACUGAAUGAACAGUUUCAGAAUAAGAUACCCAAGCAAAGUUAAUUAAGCAAAUGUUGCUCUAACAUGCAAUGACUGUAUCUUUGAUAGAAUAUAUACUUAAGAGGCCUGGUGCAGUGUUCAUGCCUGUAAUCCCAGCACUUUACGGGGGCCAAAGUAGGCAGAUCACGUGAGUUCAAGAGUUUGAAACUAGCCUGGUGAAAACCCGUCUCUGUAUUAUUGGUGAAGCCAAAAAUACAAAAGUAGCCAGGUAUGGUGGCAUGUUCCUGUAAUCCCAGCUACUUGGGAGGCGGAGGCAGGAGGAUCGCUUGAACCCUGGAGGCAGAGGUUGCAGUGAGCAGAGAUGGUGCCACUGCCCUCCAGCCUGGGUGACAGAGCAAGACUCCGUCUCAAAAAAAAAAAAAAAAAAAAGAACAAAUAUUUAAAGUAUUAAAAGUCCUAAAAAACUCUUUGCAGUCUAAACCUCCCAAGUUUUUUUUUUUUGGAACCAAGGCAACUUUACCCACUAGAGAUAACCUAGAAAAUUUCUAUCUUUAGUUCAACUGAACUCUCAGUGUUAUUUCAUAGAAACCACCCCAGUCUAUUUAUAUUAUUCAACACAUAAUUUUGGUUAGAGAAUUUUUUUUUUUUUAAAUUAGGGAUGGGGGUCUUGCUGUGCUGCUCAGGCUGGUCUCAAACUCCUGGGCUAAGUGAUUCCCUGACUGUACCUGGCCAAGAGAAGUUUUUGUGCUGUGGCUUACCUUAGCAUAUUUCUCUGCUUCUUCUCUUAUAUCUUUUGGAACAAUUUCAUGUCUUCCAUUAGUUACUGUAAAUUAAGCCACAUGUGUAAAUGAAUUUUAAAUUGAGUACCAUAUUGUAACUUGCAGUAUACCAUAGGAUCUACCCAAUCCACAUAUCUGACUCACCUAAGGUUGCAAAGUUGUACUAUGAGUAAUACUCGAAUAUUUUUGUGUGCUGCUUCUACAUGAGAUUAUAUGUGCCUACAUAUUAAGUUCUUAUGGAAAUGAAAGUAAAUUAUGCUAUUUAUAAAUCCUGAGCAUUAAUUUAUAGCAUAGUAUCUUAAAACCAUGAAAUGGAUGUUUCAAAAAAUAACGUGUUCACAACUUAAGUCAAUUAUUAAGCAGAACUUUCCCUUCAUUAGACAACCUAGUAAAUUUGCUUUAGCUUUCAUUAUAUUAGAAAGGACACUCAGUUGUAAAUUAGCUGUGGUACAGAUCAUUCCUAAGGCAAAUAAAUGUACAAAAAUAACUUACAUUCACCAACCCAGCUGAGUUCUAGUUCAAAAGCUUUAUCCUUAACUUCGUCAUGUACUAUGUAAAUUCUAGAAUAGAAAAGGGAAAGGUAAGAUUUUGGUAACCUCCAAACAUUGAAGUAGUUCACAGACCCAAAGUCAGUACAAAUUAGAAUGUCCAUCCAUAAUAAAAGUAUCUAUAAAAUUACACAGACACAUUCUACAUAGUAUUUAACAUUAGAGAAGACAAAUUACACAGGGACUGAAAUAAAAUGAAACAUCUACUCUCCCGACAAAUGUUGAAUAUACCUAAUCAACCCAAGUUCAGUUUAUUUUUGCACAUUGCUUUAGAGAUAUAACUUGGCUGGGCACAGUGGCUCACACCUGUAAUCCCAACACUUUGGGAGACCAAGGCGGAUGGAUCACUUGAGGUCAGUUCGAGACUAGCCUGGCCAACAUGGUGAAACCCUGUCUCUACUAAGAAACAAAAAUCAGCCAGGUGUGGUGGUGGGCGCCUGUAAUCUCAGCUACUCAGGAGGCUAAGGCAGGAGAAUUCCUUGAACCCGGGAGGCAGGGGUUGCAGUGAGCCAAGAUCACACUACUGCACUCCAUCCUGGGCUACAGUAGAGCGAGACUCCAUCUCAGAAAAAAAAAAAGAUACAACUAUAAAAGAUACCUCAUAAAGAACACGGAUUCACUAGGAAGAGGCGUCAUUAACUGUGCCCUUUUAGAAUAUUUUGUCCAUUAACUUAAAUAUAUUUAAAACCAACUAAUUGGCUGGACAUGGUGGCUCGUGCCUGUAAUCCUAGCACUUUGGGGAGGCAGAGGCGGGUGGAUCAUGAGGUCAGGAGUUCGAGACCAUCCUGGCCAACAUGGUGAACCCACGUCUCUACUAAAAAUACAAAAAUUAGCCAGGUGAGGUGGCCAUAGGCCUGUAGUCCCAACUACUCGGGAAACUGAGGCAGGAGACUUGCUUGAACCCAGGAGGUAGGGGCUGCAGUGAGCUGAGAUCACGACACUGCACUCCAGCCUGGGCAACAGAGUGAGACUCUGUUUCAAAAAAAUAAAAAAAAAAAAACUAAUUUAUGUGCUUGCAAUUAUUAGUGGUCUCUUCAACCUAUAGCUUCUUGGCAGUAGUCUUUUUAAGCUCCUUGUCCAUUUUAUAAUGGCAUAUAUGCCACAUAACCUGGCCUUCACAUUGUAGUACCUUACAAAUUACAGCAAAGAAGGAGGCACUGUCAUGCAACAUAUUAAAGUAACAUAAAAAGUAUCAAGAGGCCAGGUGCGGUGGUUCACAUCUGUAAUCCCAGCACUUUGGGAGGCCAAGGUGGGUGGAUCACAAGGUCAGGAGUUCAAGACCAGCCUGGCCAAGAUGGUAAAGCCUGUCUCUACUAAAAAUACAAAAAUUAGCCAGGUGUGGUGGUGGGCGCCUGUAAUCCCAGCUACUUGAGAGGCUGAUGCAGGAGAAUUGCUUGAACACGGGAGGCGGAGGUUGCAGUGAGCCAAGAUCGUGCCACUGCCCUCCAGUCUGGACGACAGAGUGAGACUCCAUCUCAAAAAAAAAAAAGUAUCAAAUUAAGUACAGUAGCAGAGUAUAGCUUUAUCUAAUACUAUGCACUGAGUUACAUACCUUACUUUUUGGAGGGUCUUCUAAAACCUUGCUAUAAUAUGAGAGGAUCUUGAUUUUCUACAACUAAGUAAAAGAUAACAUGCUGCUCCAUUUUCUUAAAUGAUGAAGGGAUGGCUUUCCUAACAUGGAACACUUAACAGAUGACUACCAUUAUACCUAAAUAUAAAAGAUGGUAAGAACUGAUUUCCAGAAGGACUUCAAAGGAUUGGUUCGGUGAAGGAAACAGAGUAUAUCAUGAUAACAUACUAUACAAUUCAAGGAAGAUAUCUGACUUCCUUUCUUAGCAGCUCUGCUGCAUGUUGGUUCCUAGUGUUGCCAUUAUUAACUGACAAUCAUAGAAUGGCUUCUGCUUGCUUCACAACUGAAACUAGGAGGGCGGAGGGGAGGAGGUGGCAAGAGGGGUAAAGGCAGUAGCAGUAAUGAUGGACCGGUUAAUAAGAGACUCUGAGUGUGAUGUAAAUAGUAUGUUUAUUAAACAAUAGAGCCCAUUGGAAUUUUUUUCUUCCACGUAUUGUUAGAUGUAAAACCUGAUACACUACCAUACAGACAGGUGAUUGACUAGACCUUGUUUAUGUAGUUCUAAUGUGGAAUACUUAGAGUUGUUAUGAAUUACGAUUAUCCAUAACUUUUGAAUCUAAAAAGCUGGCUACACAACGUAUUUUGUUGGAAUCUUUUUGUAAUACCAAAUGUCUACACUCUUUGAUCUAGAGAAUCACAAAAUUUUAGAAACAUCACUACCCAGGUUAAUUGACUUUUUUAUUGUUUACUGUCCAAAUACCUGUUACAUAUUAAUAGUAUUCUACUUUAUAUACCUGUAAUAAACUAUUCAGGGUUUCUUAAGCUGGUUGUUGAAAUGUUUUGUAAUACUGCUCUUCUUACCUUGUUAUAGGAACUUUUAUAAUAAACCUGAAAAAGUGAAACAUAUCUUUCCCAAAUAAAUAGCAGAUUAUAUAAAUGAGCCAGCUUCAUGGAUCAUGUAUUGAAAUAAUUAGUUGUAACCUAUAAAGUUUGUAAGCAUUCUUACAAUAGAGGCAAUCUUAAGAUUACUAUUAUUAGGACUUAAGAGAUUUGAGAAGUUGGGAGCUAACAAAUUAAGACCCUAAUGGUAUAUGUCCUUAACCUGUAACAGGAGUUUAUUUUGUCAAGCUAUUUUUCCCAUCCUAUUCAUUACUACUAAAAAAUAUUGCUUAAAAACAUUUUCUUCCUUCGUGAGGCUUCUUAGAAUGUUAAAUUUACCUUCUAAAAAUUAUACACUAAGUUAUUUUACAGGAAAACAGCUUCUUAGGAUUAAUGUAAUAUAUAUAUGCAAAGGUCAAAUGAAAUAUUUUUGUGGAUGGUAAGAAAAAUUUCAACUUACAUUUUUGCAACUUCUUUAACGAUAUCACGGCAGGUCAUUUCUUUCAUCUAUAGAAAAUAAAAUGUAUACUGUUCAUCAGAAGAACAUUUUCCACUUGUGUAAUAACUAUUUUCACUUUUAUACUCAGAUAUAAAACCAAGGAAAAUAACCUAAAGUCUGAAAAAGACCAGAAUCGAAGUUUCCUGAUUCAUAUUUUAAUGUUUUGAAAUUUAUACUCCAGGCUGGGUGCAGUGGCUUGUGCCUGUAAUCCCAGCACUUUGGGAGGCCGAGGCGGCCGGAUUGCCUGAAGUCAGAAGUUCGAGACCAGCCUGACCAACAUGGUGAAACCCUGUCUCUACUUAAAAAUACAAAAGAGCUGGGCAUGGAGGUGGUGCGCGCCUGUAACCCUAGCUACUCGGGAGGCUGAGGCCUAAGAAUCUCUUGAACCCAGGAGGCAGAGGUUGUAGUGAGCCGGGAUCACGCCACUGCACUCUAGCCUGGGCGACAGAGAGAGAGACUGUCUAAAAAAGGAAAAGAAAAAAAUUUAUACGCCAAAAAAGAUAUUCUGAGAUAACCUGUAGUUACCACUAACUUUGUGACAAAAUUAUAAAAAUCCACAGCCAUCUAUGAAUCUGUAGGCAGACCUGAAGUUUGAACGACUGGUGAAGACAUCUGAUUUUCUUUAUAGCCAAGUUAGGAUAACAAAAUGCAAACAAGUCAUUAAUAUUUACUAUAUGCAAGAUACAGAAAGAUGAAGGAAGGAGUAAGAAGUUAUCCUUCGUGGAACUAUUCAAAGCAAAAAUGCAAAAUACCAGGGAAAGCUUUGAAGAACCAAGAUUUGAGCAGGUUCUUAGAAUAUAGAUUGGAUUGGAUUUGAUUUCAAGAAAGAUGAACGUGUAAAGCAGAAGUGGGAAGCCAAAAACUUUUUUCCAAAUUAGAAUUAAGCAUUCUUUCAAUGAACAUUUGGAAAUCAAGGUAGAAAAAUAUCCCUAGGGCCUAGCUGAGGAGUCUGUAUGUUGUUGGGUUUUGAUAGUAACCAGUCCAAGAUUUUGUUAUUAGACGUGGGUUUCUGAAUAGACAGGCAUUUCUGAACAGACAUGACAGGAUCAAAACAAUGUUUGAGCAAACUGCCCUUCAUCUACUGUGGAUAUGUUGGGGGAUGAUGGAAUAUAGUGAAAGAUAAUGGGUGCUCAUACAGCAGUCUAGACUUAAGGUGAUUCAACUACUAUAUAUUAAACUAGAUUAUCUUUUAUUUUUUAAUUUUGAAAUCUGGAUGCUCAAGCUCUGCCUGCACAACCACAUGAGGAAGAAGGAACAAUGACAACAAAAAUAACACUAAAUUUAAAUUUAAGAGUACUACUUUUAGGAAAUAGACAAACCAUUAUUUGGGUACAACUAAAGGCAACUGGCAUGGACUCAAAUAUUUUGGGGAAGAAAAAGACUAAAAGUUCUAAGGAAGAAAAUGCGAACCUUGAUAGUUUGAAAUAGUUAAAAAGACAGUGUAGAAACUGCUUAGGCAGUUUGAUUAUGGACUAUUAGAUGAUACUUGGGUCUGAUAAUGGUAUAAGGAGAAUAAAGUAUUUAGGGAUCCAAUAUUACGCCUGCAGCUUUUUCCAAAUAGUUCAUGGGGGAGGGGGAUGUGUAAGUGGUUAACUGAAGUCUAACUAGAUAGGUUUGUUGUAAGCUUAGGAUGUUUACAGUUCUUCAUGUUAAGUUGAGCGUGAUGGGAAGGGAAAGAAUGCUGAUCUUUAAAUUUUUGUCCUUAGUUAAGUUCUGUAUUUAGUGAAUUAAUUGCAUCCUAAAAAGUCAAACUUGAAAAGCACAUUUUAAAUGGCAAAUCUAUUUUUUACAUGUUUGUGAAGUUUUUAUUUUUUAGUAAACAGACCAUCAGAAGAGAACAAUGGUACAGAGCAGGGGUCAGCAGAUGGAUUUUGUAAAGCAUCAACUUGUAAAUAUUUUCAAGUUUAUUAGCUGUAUGGCUCUGGUUUCUGUUCCCUGUUCCAAAUGUUAAAGUCUACUGUUGUAUUCUAAAAGCAGCCAUGGACUGAAUGUAGCUGUGUUCCAAUAAAACUUACACAAAAGCAGGCAGUGGGCCAUAAUUUGCAACACCUGAUUCACAGCAUAAUUUUGUCACAAACUGAAAGUGUUCCUCAAUUAAAGUGAUUUUUUUUUCUUGAUUUUUCUCUGGGAUUUAUUGUUUUUCCCAUUCCUUGCUAGGAUUUAACUACAGAAAGACAGAUAGUAACUGCUCUAAAUAUUCUAAUUUCCUUUAUUUUUUUGAGAUAAGGUGUCGCUCUGUUGCCCUGGCUGGAGUGCAGUGGCGUGAUCAUAGCUCACUGUAGCCCCCAACUCCUGGCUGGGGCUCAAACAGUCCUCCUGCCUCAGCCUCCCAAGUAGCUGGGACUACAGGCACGCACCACCUCACCUCGCUAACAUUUUGUUUUGGGAGAUAGGGUCUUACUCUUUUGCCCAGCCUGGUCUUGGAACUACUGGGCUCAAGCAGUCCUCCCAACUUGGCCUACCAAACUGGUAGGAUUACAGGGGUAAUCCCCCUCAACUGACAUAAAUAUUCUAAUUUUCAAAUUUCCAUAUAAUAGUAUGGAGAGAUGAAAACAAAAGGAAAAGAGUAGAAGAUAGGAACCUAGCAUCAUACUAGUAAGUGUGCAAUGGAAAAGAACAUAGGUCUAAGACUCAUAAGGUCUGGAUACUGUUCAGAACCAGCUGAUUCUGUGGUCCUAUGCAGUGUGUUUAAUCUGCAGUUGAGCUUGGGCUAAAUGACCUCUAAGAUCCUUUUGUCAGCUUUACUAAAAUACGAAACAAAUUAGGUUUUAUAGGGGGUUCUAGAACUUAGCAUUGUAUAAAUGCCAAGCACUAAUAAGUAUUUUCUAGAAGCUGGUCUUAAAUAAGUUGAAUGAGUAAUUAGUUGAGCAGGGUUCUAGUACAGCAUUAACAUUAAAUGUAUGUGAAAUUGUAUCUCACUUCAGUUUACCAAAACACUGAUAAAUGGUAUGCCUGCUUUUUAGGCAAGUUUCUGACAGGUAAUCAAUAAUAUUGAAACAGUAUCCAUGAAGUCUUUAAGUUGAUCAACGCAUGGCUAAAAGGAAAACCAAGUUUUUAAGAAAACUUUUUCACACUAAUAGCUGAAUUUUGUGAAAGAAAAAGUGGGUAGUCGUAAGAGUGUAGGCUUUAUGCCUUACCUGGCUAGGAGCAAAGCUAAGAGAACCGGUGGAGCACAGCCAGACAUAAAAGCUGUGUUCCAAAGAAAGAAUAUAGGAAAAAUAUAACUUUUUAUUAACUCAAAAUUUUAAACAAAAUUUUCAAACUAGAGCUCACAGAGAUUCAUAAAUAGGUUUCAAGGAUUUUGUGAAAUCAUAUCAAAAGUUGUGUUUUUCUAGAUUGAGGCUUUAUAGCAGUUAUUCAGAAUCUAUAAAGGGAUGUAUAACACAACUCUACAGAUAAUAUGUUACCAGCUUUCCCAUUCAGUGACUUAGCAGCUUCAUAAACUCUCAACAUCAAACCACACUAUAUCCUUACACCGAGCUUCCCCAGCCACAGGCCACAUGGGGCCAAACACAAAUUCGUAAACUUUCUUAACACAUGAUGAGAUUUUUUUUUAAGCUCAUCAGCUAUCAUUAGUGUUGGUGUAUUUUAUGUGUGGCCCAGGGAAGCCAAAUGAUUGGACAUCCCUGCCUUAGACUGAAAUGUCUGUGGUGAUAAAAUUUCACUGCAUUAGGAUGACGACAUAGUAAAAAUUCAAGCAUUAAUUAUUACCUGAAGCUUCUCUAUUUCCGUCUUUGCAGCUUGCCUGGCUUUGCCGAUGGCACAGCCCCAAUAACCCUAUUUAGAAAAAAAUAUAUAUAAUCACUGAAUUAGUACACUAUCAUAUGUAAUUAAUGACUACUAAUGUUUCUAUAACCUAGUGAAAGGAUGCUAAAUGACUUUUAAAAGCAAGUAUAGAAAAAUAUAGUCAAACACAUUCUGAUGAAUGCCAAAGGGCUCAAAAAUACUAAAAUACCAAACAAUUCCAAAACAACCUGUAUUUUUAAUAAAGGUAUAUCCAAAAAUAUGUAAAUUAUGUAAUCAUAUACACUUUAAGACAUUUUGGGGAACAGGAACGGAAAAGAUUUUAGCACUAUGACAAUGAAAAAUGAAAUUAUAUAUUCCUGAGAGACAGAAAUAAAGUUAAUUCCUAUGAGUUCAGUACUCUAAACCCCCAAUUUUAUUAUUUUGUAAAUUUUUUUAAAGAUAAGGAUGCACAGCUGGGUGUGGUGGGUCAUGCCUGUAAUCCCAGCACUAUGGAAGGCCAAGGUGGGCAGAUCACCUCAGGUCAGGAGUUGGAGACCGGCCUGGCCAACAUUGUAAAACCCUGUCUCUACUAAAAAUACAAAAAAAUUAGCUAGGUGUGGUGGCAGGUGCCUGUAAUGCCAGCUACUCCAGAGGCUGAGGCAGGAGAAUCGCUUGAAUCUGGGAGGCAGAGGUUGCAGUGAGCUGAGACCGCGCCACUGCACUCCAGCCUGGGCAACAGAGUGAGACUCCAUCAAAAAAAAAAAAAAAAAGGAUGUACACAUAUAUACUUCUGUUACAGCAAAAUAUAUUUAAGAAUCUUCAUUUUCUUCAAUUAGUAAAAACGACAAAAAUGUAAGGAUAAGAAAACAGUUAAGAAACGGUAACAGGCCGGGUGCAGUGGCUCACACAAAGUGCUUGUAAUCCCAGCACUUUGGGAAUCUGAGGCACGUGGAUCACUUGAGGCCAGGAGUUCCAGACCAGCCUGGGCAACAUGGUGAAAGUCUGUCUCUACUAAAAAUACAAAAAUUAGCCAGGUGUGAUGGUACAGGCCUGUAAUCCCAGCUACUUGAGAGGCUGAGGCACAAGAAUCCCUUGAAUCCGGGAGGCAGAGGUUACAGUGAGCCAAGAUUGCACCACUGCAGUCCAGCCUGGGCAACUGAGCAAGACUCUGUCUCAAAAAAAAAAAAAAAUGGUAAUAAUUUAGGGAAAGCUCUUAGAAAUCACAUUUAAACCUUCUCUUUAAAAGGGAAGGCAGGGCAAGGUGGCUCACACCUAUAAUCCCAGCAUUUUGGGAGACCAAGGUGGGCGGAUUACUUGAGAUCAGGAGUUCGAGACCAGCCUGGCUAACAUGGUGAAACCUCGUCUCUACUGAAAAUACAAAAAUUAGCCGGGUGUGGUGAUGCAUGCUUCUAAUCCCAGCCUACUCGGGAGGCUGAGGCAGAAUUGCUUGAACUGGGGAGGUGGAGGUUUGGCGCCACUGCACUCCAGUCUGGGUGACAGAGCGAGACGCUGUCUGAAACAAAAUUAGGUCCGGCACUGUGGCUCACGCCUGUAAUCCUUGCACUUUGGCAGGCCGGGGUGGGCAGACCACCUGAGGUCAGGAGUUGGAGACCAGCUGGCCAACAUGGCAAAACCCCAUCUGUACUAAAAAUACAAAAAUUAACCAGGCAUGGUAGUACAUGCCUGUAAUCCCAGCUAAUCAGGAGGCUGAGACAGGAGAAUUGCUUGAACCUAGGAGGCGGAAGAGGUUGCAGUGAACCAAGAUCGAGCCACUGCACUCCAGCCUGGGAGACAGAGUGACACUCCAUCUUAUAAAUAAAUAAAAUAAAAGGGAUGACAUGGCUGGACAUCGAUGCUCACGCCUGUAGUCCCAGCAUUUUGGGAGUCCAAGGCAGGAGGACUGCUUAAGGCCAGGAGUUUGAGACCAGCCCUGGGAACGUGGAAAGACCUUGUCUCUAUAGACACCAAAAAAAUACAAAAAUUAGCUAGGCAUGGUGGCAUGAGCCUGUAGUCCCAGCUACUUGGGAGGCUUAGGUAGGAGGAUCGCCUGAGCCCAGGAGUUGAGAGGCUGAAGUGAGCUAUGAUUGUGUCACUGCACUCCAGCCUGGGCAAGAAUGAGGAAAAAAGACAUUAAAUACAGUUUUAAGACAGUGUUUAUAGUAAUAAAGGAAAAUCACAUAUUCAAAAUACUAUAUGCACUAUACAGUUUCUAUAAAUAACAUACUGAAAAAAAAUCUUUCCUCUGCCUCGUAUCAGUUAUUAAUGAUAAGAAAACAUGGCUGGGCCUGGUGGCUCACACCUGUAAUACUCGCACUUUGGGAGACCCAGGUGGGUAGAUCUCUUGAGGACUGGAAUUCAAGACCAGUCUGGCCAACAUGGCAAAGGCCUGUUUCUACUAAAAAUAAAAAAAAUUAGCCAGGUGGUGCACACCUGUAAUCCCAGCUACCCGGGAGGCUGAGGCAGAAGAACUGUUUGAACCUGGGAGGCAGAGGUUGCAGUGAGCUGUGAUCACACCACUGUGCUCCAGCCUGGGCCACAGUGAGACCCUGUUCCCCCAAAAAGGAAAAAAAAAAAAAUUCUGUUGGACAAGAGGUUGUUGUAAAAAAAAAAAAAAGAAAAAUUACUUUCCUUGAAUGAGUUUUUUUUUAAUUUCAUAUAAUCUUAUAAUGAGACUUAAAUGCUAAUGAAAUACCAUUAAACUAAAAUAGAAUUUCAAAUGAUUCAAAAUUACUCACGUAUGAAACACCUGAUGGGUCAAUCAUGUAGAGUUGCGCACCGUCAUUCACACUGUAAGACCCUAACAUGAAACUGCAUGAAAGUAUACAAACAGCUUAAACCAUGGCAAUAACAUAAAAGUAUUUGUGAAAAAAUUAUUUUAAAAUGCAGUUAUAUUUUCUUUCUGAGAUAAAUUACUAAUACACAUAUAACUCAGUAAGUACUUUGAAACAGUGGUUUCAAUUAAUUAAAACUAUUACAUGAGAUUAUUCAAAAUUCAUGUAGCUUUUGUUUGUUUAGUAUUAAUCUUUCUGAUGAAGGUCUCCUGGAAAGUCUAGCAGUACAGGGAAAGGAGUAACGAUAGAUGAAAACCACAACUAUGAGAGGGCCCAAUAAAUAAGGCAUAAACACAAAAAGAUCAAGGGAACAAAAUUCCUGACGGAGAGUAUACUGAAUCCAUGUGAAAUUCUUUCCACCCUUCAUUCUAUUUCCCAAUAUCCUGCCAAUCAUUUCUCUGCAAUAAUCAGAAUUGGUUCAGUGUAUUUUUCUGUGCUCAACAAAUUAGGCUAUUAGCUGAUUGUAUGAAAUACUGAUUUUCUGAAAUUGUGACAUACAGUGGGCACUGUUUCCAUGAGUUCUGCAUCUGUGGAUUCAACAAACCACAGAUAGAAAACUUUCAAAAAACAUUGCUUCUGUACUGAACAACUGUGAUUUUCUUGUCAUUAUUCCCUAAACAAUACAGUGUAACAGCUAUUUACACUGUGUUAGGUAUUGCAAGUAAUCUAGAGAUGACAACAUACAGGAGGAUAUGCACAGGUUAUAUGCAAAUACUUAACCAUUUUAUAUCAGGGACUUCAGCAACCUUGGAUUUUGGUAUUCAUGGGAGGUCCUAAAACCAAUCCCCCACAAAUACCAAGGGACAACUAUAUUUGCCUUAGAGUAGAAAAGAAAUCAGCAGCAUCUUACACAUCAUCUUAUAUGCGGAAUAUUUUAACUAUUCAAUUCCCAUCCCUACCGUCAUUUCCUUCCAUUUUCUACCGAUAUGAGACUUAUCCUUCAGGAUAUAUAGCUCAUUGUCACUAUUUUAAAGCCUUUCAACAUUUCUUUGAAGAAAAUCAGCAUGGAGCACAGACUUUUAUAUGACUGGACCCCUUCCUACAUCAGUAUCAUCUCUAAACCUCAUACUCUACACACCAAGCAUACUUAACUCUCUCUGGCGCACGUAUUUUCAUACCAGUUCCUGUGCUUGCAACUACCAAGUCUCCCUACAUCUCACACUCUUCCUUGCCUCCUGUCCAGAAAGAGUCCGUUCCCUAAUUGUUGUCCCUUUAUCAUAUCACUAAUAUUUUAUCAAUGUGACUUCACACCUGUGUCUCCACAUUUAUGACUAACUCAGUGCCCAAUAGAUGUUUACUAAAAAAGUUCUCUCUGGCCCAGUGCGGUGGCUCACGCCUGUAAUCCCAGCACUUUGGGAGGCUGAGGUGGAUCACUUGAGGUCAGGAGUUUGAGACCAGCCUGGCCAACAUGGCGAAACCCUGACUGUACUAAAAAUAAAAAAAUUAGCCGGGCGUGGUGGCAGGUGCUUGUAAUCCCUGCUACUCAGGAGGUUGAGGCAGGAGAAUAGCUUGAACCCGGGAGGCAGAGGUUGCAGUGACCUGAGAUCGUGCCACUGCAUUCCAGCCUGGGCGACAGAGCGAGACUCCAUCUCAAAACAAAACAAAACAAACAAAAAAAAAGUUAUGAAAAAAAGUUAUCUCUACUAUUCUUACUCCCUUAAAAAGAGUAGAGAAGUUAACUGAUGAACUCAGAGCUCAGUUGAAAGGUAUUUUACAUGGUCUGAAAACAAAGUGUUUCAUAAUGUAAUUUAACUGAGAAGCUUAAGAAUGACUAAUGUCAGCCUGGGCAGCAUGGUGAGACCCCGUCUCUACAAAAAAAAAUUUUGUUAAUUAGCCAGGCAUGGUGGCCCAUGCCUGUGGUCCCAGCUACUUGGGAGGCUGAGGUAGGAGCAUCGCUUGAGCCAGGUCAAAGCUGCAGUCAGCCAUGAUGGCACCACUGCACUCCAGCUCAGGUGACAGUAACUGUCUCAAAAAGUAAAAACAAAACCCUAAUGUAAUAUUACCAAUAGAAUAAAACUCAAGUUUUCUUUAAUAUCUUAGUAAUUAAAUAUGACUGAUGAUAAACAACUCAAAGGUAGGACUACAGCUGAGCACUCAGAUGUUAGUAUAUGUAUUAUUUUGACCAAACAUGUUUGACUGUUUUAAGUCAUAAGCCAAACAUGUCUUUUCAUUUUAGAAAAAUCUAGUCACAAGUCUUCUCUGUGAAGCCAAAUUUGAAUAUUUAUACCUAUUCCAGGUCUUUAUGCAGCUGAAUCUCCACUUUACCCCACAAUAAAAUAUCAGCACUUCAACAGAAAGAGAAACCGUGCCUAAUGGGAAUUGUGAGACGUAAUUUUUAAAAUUACCUAAGAAUAUCAGGGACUAACACCGAGAGCUUAUUAUAAUCAGAUUAAAGUCAUUGUUAUCAGUUCCUUGUUUUAUAAUCACUUCAGAUCUAUAUAGUCCUUUUCACUAUUGAAACCUUUUUUUUUUUUUUUUUUUUUUUUUUAAAGAGGCAGAGUCUCUAUUGCGCCAGCUAGAGUACAGUGGUAUGGCCACAGCUCAUUCCAGCCUUCAACUCCUGGGCUCAAAUGAUCCUCUCAAGCAGCUCCUAAGUAGCUGUGACUACAGGCAUGUGAUACUGCACCUGGCUAAAUUUUAAAUUUUUUUUGUAGAGAUAGGUUCUCACUGCGUUGGCCAGGCUGGUCUCAUACUCCUGGGCGCGAGGGAUCCUCCCACCUCAACCUCCCAAAGUACUGGGAUUACAGGCUUGAGCCAUGGCACCCAGCCUCAAGUAGUUUCUAUGUACACUGUUUUAUUUAAUCAUUGCCCUAAUACUUAUCGACGAGUUUCUAUUUUUAAGUAUGUAAAAGGCUAAGAUGCUGGGGAACAUAAUAAAUAUCUAUAGUACAGAUCUGCCUUUUGAAUAAUUCACAAAAUUUCUUACCUGCAGCCAAAAGGUCUAACAGCACUGUAGAGUGUAUAUGCAUGCACAUACAUGGCCACUCUGUCUGCAAGAUGCUAUGGAGGGAAGCAGAAGAGCUUAUUAAUAAACUUCUAUUACUGUCCAAAAGGUUCCUCAAUAUGUUAUCAACUUACUUUUAGUGGAAUGUUGUAGCCAAAGUUAGAUCUGAAGUUGGAAGCUUCUUCUCUUGCUAUGUCUGCUAAAGAACGAGCAUCUGCCAACAAACCUGCUACUGCCUGAAAAAAAAGCACCAAUUUACUAGAGGAACACAUUCCUAUCACAAAUCAAAGUCUGCAAUUAAUAAAGACUUAUUAAACAUUUUUUUAACAAGUAUUACCAUUCAAAAUAAACUUUUUUGGCUUAAAGGUCUCUCUACAAGGCAUUUUGAUGCUUGAGUAUGAAAUUAUAAUUUAGAAAUUUAGUAAGUAUAACUUCAUUGCUUUGUCCAAUGUUCAUAUUCAGGACAUUUCCUUUUUUUUUUUUGAUACGGGGUCUCGCUCUGUCACCAGGGCUGGAGUACAGUGGCAUGAUCUCCGCUCACUUCACACUCUGCCUCCUGGGUUCAUGCCAUUCUCCUGCCUCAGCCUCCUGAGUAGCUGGGACUACAGGCGCCUGCCACCACGCCCGGCUAAUUUUUUUGUAUUUUUAGUAGAGAUGGGGUUUCACCAUGUCAGCCAGGACGGUCUUGAUCUCCUGACCUCGUGAUCUGCCUGCCUCAGCCUCCUAAAGUGCUGGGAUUACAGGCGUGAGCCACCGUGCCCGGCCAAUAUUCAGGACUACUUCUAUCAUAAAUCCUCUUCCCCUGAUUUACUACCACUACCUCAUUAUAACGAAUAAAAACCAUGGGUCUUGGUCAGAUUUUUUUUUUUUUUUUUUUUUGAGACAGAGUCUCACUGUGUCACCUAGGCUGGAGCACAAUGGCACCAUCUGGGCUCACUUCAACCUUUGCCUCUCAGGUUCAAGGGAUUCUCCUGCCUCAGCCUCCCCAGUAGCUGGGAUUGGCUAAUUUUUAUAUUUUUAGUAGAGACAGGGUUUGGUUUUGUCAUGUUGGCCAGGCUGGUCUUGA